AUACGAAGGGGGCAAGCGUUGUUCGGAAUUACUGGGCGUAAAGCGUGCGUAGGCUGUUUUGAAAGUUAGGCGUGAAAUCCCUGGGCUCAACCCAGGAACUGCGCUUAAAACUUCAAGACUAGAAUCCGAGAGAGGUUAGCGGAAUUCCAAGUGUAGAGGUGAAAUUCGUAGAUAUUUGGAGGAACACCAGUGGCGUAGGCGGCUAACUGGCUCGGUACUGACGCUGAGGCGCGAAAGCGUGGGGAGCAAACAGGAUUAGAAACCCGAGUAGUCC
RNAcentral lists this ribosomal RNA (274 nucleotides) under uncultured bacterium. RNAcentral's name for it is "partial 16S ribosomal RNA". It matches the Rfam family "Bacterial small subunit ribosomal RNA", at positions 523 to 796 of the family's 1533-position model. The record is from RNAcentral.